RNAcentral lists this unclassified non-coding RNA (341 nucleotides) under soil metagenome. RNAcentral's name for it is "partial contains 5.8S ribosomal RNA, internal transcribed spacer 2, and large subunit ribosomal RNA". The stretch from base 1 to 120 matches the Rfam family "5.8S ribosomal RNA", at positions 35 to 154 of the family's 154-position model. The record is from RNAcentral.
GAUGAAGAACGUAGUGAAAUGCGAUAAGUAGUGUGAAUUGCAGAAUUCAGUGAAUCAUCGAAUCUUUGAACGCACAUUGCGCCCUUUGGUAUUCCAAUGGGCAUGCCUGUUCGAGCGUCAUUUGUACCCUCAAGCUUUGCUUGGUGUUGGGCGUCUUGUCUCUAGCUUUGCUGGAGACUCGCCUUAAAGUAAUUGGCAGCCGGCCUACUGGUUUCGGAGCGCAGCACAAGUCGCACUCUCUAUCAGCAAAGGUCUAGCAUCCAUUAAGCCUUUUUUUCAACUUUUGACCUCGGAUCAGGUAGGGAUACCCGCUGAACUUAAGCAUAUCAAUAAGCGGAGGA